AAAUUUUAAUGCCUCAGCUGUCUGCUUGGCGUGUGCGUAGAAAUGCACGGUUGAGGGAGAGAAAAAGGUCUGAAGCAAUUGAAUUGCAGAAGCUUCGAAAGACUGCAACAAGAAGGUGCAGAAACUGCUUGACACCAUAUAGGGAUCAGAAUCCAGGUGGUGGUAGAUUUAUGUGUGCUUAUUGUGGCCAUAUUUCCAAGAGGNNNNNNNNUGCCUGUACCUCCUGGAUUGGGAAUGUCUAAUUCUGGGAUUAUUAAGGAUCUGGUUGGCAG
This 272-nucleotide unclassified non-coding RNA is filed under the name Hevea brasiliensis (rubber tree). Lineage: Eukaryota; Viridiplantae; Streptophyta; Magnoliopsida; Malpighiales; Euphorbiaceae. The record is from RNAcentral.